Arabidopsis lyrata subsp. lyrata is the source of this 317-nucleotide long non-coding RNA. RefSeq lists it as uncharacterized. The record is from RefSeq and is a predicted model, not a curated record. The transcript has 3 exons. Lineage: Eukaryota; Viridiplantae; Streptophyta; Magnoliopsida; Brassicales; Brassicaceae.
UAAUAACAGUUUAUAUCGAUACCCGAAGAACGUUACAAUGAGUACAGACUAAAUUCAGAUUUCAUAAAAGAAUACAUAUUCCCAGGUGGAUGCCUUCCUUCUUUAGCCAGAGUUACUUCAGCCAUGUCCUCUUCUUCUAGGCUAUGCAUUGAAAAUGUUGAGAACAUUGGGAUUCAUUACUACCAAACGCUGAGAUUGUGGAGGAAGAAUUUCUUGGAGAGACAAAAACAAAUCAUCGAUCUUGGAUUCGACGAUAAAUUCAUUAGGAUAUGGGAAUAUUAUUUCGACUAUUGUGCAGCUGGUUUCAAGACUCUUAC